This 468-nucleotide ribosomal RNA is filed under the name uncultured Lachnospiraceae bacterium. RNAcentral's name for it is "partial 16S ribosomal RNA". The record is from RNAcentral. Lineage: Bacteria; Bacillati; Bacillota; Clostridia; Lachnospirales; Lachnospiraceae.
CACGUAGUUAGCCGGGGCUUCUUAGUCAGGUACCGUCAUUUUCUUCCCUGCUGAUAGAAGUUUACAUACCGAAAUACUUCUUCCUUCACGCGGCGUCGCUGUAUCAGGGUUUCCCCCAUUGUGCAAUAUUCCCCACUGCUGCCUCCCGUAGGAGUUUGGGCCGUGUCUCAGUCCCAAUGUGGCCGUUCACCCUCUCAGGCCGGCUACUGAUCGUCGCCUUGGUGAGCCCUUACCUCGCCAACCAGCUAAUCAGACGCGGGUCCAUCUCAUACCACCGGAGUUUUUCACACCGUCCCAUGCGAGACCGUGCGCUUAUGCGGUAUUAGCAGUCAUUUCUAACUGUUACUCCCCCUGUAUGAGGCGACGGUUACCCACGCGUUACUCCACCCGUCCGCCACUCAGUACAAAUAAGACUUACAAACCGAAGUAAUCCGUCUUAAGUGCUUCGUUCGACUUGCAUGUGUUAGC